RNAcentral lists this long non-coding RNA (820 nucleotides) under Piliocolobus tephrosceles (Ugandan red Colobus). RNAcentral describes it as "lncRNA (ENSPTEG00000015916.1)". Lineage: Eukaryota; Metazoa; Chordata; Mammalia; Primates; Cercopithecidae. The record is from RNAcentral.
UUUUUUUUUUUUUGCUUUAUAUGUAAAAAAACAAUUUUAUUAUCGUUAUUCUUUAACAUUGAUGAUAUAUUAAUAAAAUUAUAUGAGAAAAAAAAUAAAAAUAAAUAAAUGUAUAAAUUUUAAAUUAUAAAAGUAGUAAAAAAAAAAAAAAAGGAAAAAAAAAACUAUUAUUAUGAAUUGUGUUAUGCUGUAUUAUUUUAAUAUUUAAAUUUAGUUCUGAAACUAAUUAUUUUACUUUUUUUUUUAUUAUUAUUUUCUCAAUGUUCUUGUAUUAUUAACACAAAAAUAAAUAUUUUAUUAUAUUUUUAAAAUUGGCAUUAUGUAAAAAAAAAAAAAGAAAGAUAUACAUGUACUACAUAUUCCAUUAUUUACACGAUUAAGCAUCAACAGAGAUGUAAAUAAAAAUUUAAUAAGAAUACUAAUAACGUAUUGUUAUUAUUGUUUUAAAUAUAUAUAUAUAUAUAUAUAUAUAUUUAUCUUUAUGUGUAUUAUGUAUGUAUGUAUAGGUAUACAUGUGCAAUUAAAAACAUAUUUAGAUGUACCAAAAUAUAUAUAAGUUAUUCAUAUAUAUAUUUAUAUAUAACAUAUCAUUCUUAUUACUUUUUAUUGUGUAUAUUUUAUUGUAACAAUGUGUGAUGAUUAUACAUUGACAGAAGAUAGUAGAAUAGAACUAAAUGUAGGAGGAAAAAAAUACAUUACAACAUUUGGCUUAUUAUGUAAAUGUAAAGACUCUUACUUAUGUGCGAUAGUAUUGGAUAGAUCCCAAUACAUAUACCCUUGUCCAAGUAAACAUAAAUAAUAAUGUAAAAGUAUAAUUAUA